AACAGUUAGGGGUACCUUUAAGUUUGGGGUUAACAGUUAGGGGUACCUUUAAGCAAGGGGUUAACAGUUAGGGGUACCUUUAAGUAAGGGGUUAACAGUUAGGGGUACCUUUAAGUAAGGGGUUAACCGUUAGGGGUACCUUUAAGUAAGAGGUUAACGGUUAGGGGUACCUUUAAGUAAGGGGUUAACAGUUAGGUGUACCUUUGAGUAAGGGGUUAACAGUUAGGGGUACCUUUAAAUUUGGGGUUAACAGUUAGGGGUACCUUUAAGUUUGGGGUUAACAGUUAGGGGUACCUUUAAGCAAGGGGUUAACAGUUAGGGGUACCUUUAAGUAAGGGGUUAACAGUUAGGGGUACCUUUAAGUAAGGGGUUAACCGUUAGGGGUAC
Oncorhynchus keta (chum salmon) is the source of this 387-nucleotide long non-coding RNA. RefSeq lists it as uncharacterized. The transcript has 2 exons. The record is from RefSeq and is a predicted model, not a curated record. NCBI's taxonomy places the organism in Eukaryota, Metazoa, Chordata, Actinopteri, Salmoniformes, Salmonidae.